GUCUUCGUGGUGUAAUGGUCAGCACGCUCGGCGCGUAUUCGAGAGGUCCAUGGUUCAAAUCCUGGCGAGGGCA
RNAcentral lists this transfer RNA (73 nucleotides) under Stegodyphus mimosarum. It matches the Rfam family "tRNA". From Rfam's summary of the family: Transfer RNA (tRNA) molecules are approximately 80 nucleotides in length. Their secondary structure includes four short double-helical elements and three loops (D, anti-codon, and T loops). The record is from Rfam by way of RNAcentral. Lineage: Eukaryota; Metazoa; Arthropoda; Arachnida; Araneae; Eresidae.